Long non-coding RNA from Ornithorhynchus anatinus (platypus), 1916 nucleotides. RefSeq lists it as uncharacterized. Lineage: Eukaryota; Metazoa; Chordata; Mammalia; Monotremata; Ornithorhynchidae. The record is from RefSeq and is a predicted model, not a curated record. The transcript has 3 exons.
UGAUGAUGAUGAUGACAGUGAUCGUGAUGCCGAUGAUGACAAUAGUGUUGAUGAUAAUGAUGAUGGCAAUGCUGACUGACCUUGCUGAAAUGUACGAUACUACUACUUUACAUGGUAAUCUUCGAGACCAUGUCUACACCAGCAAAUUAUACUAUUAAUGAAGGUGUGGCUGAUAAGAUCAAUGCGUGACUGACAAUUCCUUCUGCACCAUGUACACAGAUAGAUUACCUUCUGCUGCAAUGAUGGGCUGAUUGCCCAAGCUGCAUGGCGCCUUUUUGCUUCUUUCUCAGAGCCACAAUCUUCUCAAAACCUCAGCUCCAAGAAAAUCACCCCACUUCUGAUUGCUACACAUCUGUCUGAUCUGACAUUUGCUGCUGUCUCCCCAGUGUCCCCUGCCACACAGUUUGCCGGUUAACUGUUAUAUUACAAACCUUUGCAGGAAACCAAGGGGAGGAGAAUAGAAGGAAGCAGAGUACCCAAACAGCUGCUCUAUGGAGCCUUGCAAAGCACUCCAGCUGAGAGCCGUGUCUUCCUAUCACCCCACUCGCAAUCACGUUUCCUGGAGAGGGAGAAGAUGGAGGAACAGUUGGACUUGGUAGUGUCAGCUUCCAUAAUGGGGAAGAUUGGUUUGACAUUCAGAAAGCAAAUACAUUGUGCCUUUCUCUCAACUCCUUCUCUCCCUGCUCCUCCCACACCCAGUCUGGAAUCUGAAAGCUACAGAAACAUCACUACUGUUACAGAACCAAGCUAUAAUUUUCUGGCUAAUGGAAGAUGUAUUGGCAAAAGUUGACAUUAAGUGGAACUAAUUACGCUGUAACUGCUAAAUAACUAAGAAAUAACUAUCCUAUAAUUUAUAGCACUGUGUGGACUGCUCAGCAAAUUUGGAACUGCUGAACUGCAGAGCAUUCAAUGAUGCAUGGAGCUCCUAACUUGUCUCAGUCCAGGAGGACUCAGGAAAUGCAUAAUCACGAGCUGAGCAAACACUCGGAAUUGCAAUUCCAAGUAAUCUUUUCCUGCCUUUGGAAGAAUGGCUCUGUCCUGAUGCUCCUCUAAUGGGAAGCUUCUCCCCCAAAAUUGUAUGACUUCCAGUUGCAUACUGGAAUUCUUCACCUCAGCUCUAUUUUGUAUUCAGGUAGAGAUGGUGCAGAUCAGCAAGGGAUAUAUGACUAUCUGAAUAUAUUAUGAACCGAAGAAAGAAAGGGGACAGGAAAAGAGAAAGGGAAGAGGAAGAACCAAGGGAGGAAAUAAGGAAAGAAGGAAAGGGGGGGAAAGAAGAAAGGAAAGAAGGAAAGCAAUAAGUAAAGGAAGGAAGGAGGAAAGAGAGGAAAAGUGCAAGGGGUGAUGGUGGUGUAAGAGUACAAAAAAAAUGAGAAAAAAAUCAAGAGGUUAAGCCUAUUAUUUCUUUUACAAAGAUAGAUUCUGGGGGUUCAGAAUGAACCCCAGGAACCAUAUAAUAAAACCUCACUCAUAAACGAUUGUAGGCAGUUCUGAGUUUUAUUUGUAAUAAUUUCUUUUUCAGCUUGGUUUCCCAAAGAAGGUUAUAUGAGUGUGGAUUAAGGAGCUCAGGGGGAGGGAGGAUGCUUUUUAAAGGGGUAGAGGGAACACAUUUGUGAGUGCAGAUGGGUGAGAAAAGUAGAGAGUGCCCAGGGAGGAAAGGAGGAGAAAGGGAGACAGAGGAUAGGCAAUGGGGAGGAAAGGGAUGUGGGAGAGUGAUAGAGAGGGAGAGGCGUAAGUCAGUGCUCGCCUCUGACUGAUUUGUUCUGCCUCCAUUAUCAUUCAGUAGAAAGACUCUUCCUUGCAAGAGGCUUUUCGAGAAAGCCUAAUAAUGUUCCACAGGUGAAGGAGUUAUCUCAGCUUUUCUCUUUUUCAGCAAAGCUAACACUCUGUACAUGAAAUAAAGGUUAUCUUGAAAAAUA